GGGGUUGUGGCUCAAGUGGUAGAACACUCACCUAGCAUGUGUGAGGCCCUGGGUUAGAUCCUCAGCACCACA
Molecule: transfer RNA, 72 nt
Filed under: Marmota monax (woodchuck)
Lineage: Eukaryota; Metazoa; Chordata; Mammalia; Rodentia; Sciuridae
Description: tRNA.Ala
Source: RNAcentral